GGCGGCGUGCUUUAUGCAUGCAAGUCGAACGGUCCUUCACCCUUCGGGGUGAAGGAUAGUGGCAAACGGGUGAGUAACGUCUAAGUAAUCUGCCCUUAAGUAGGGGAUAACUCUGAGAAAUCAGAGCUAAUACCGUAUGUGGUGCUGGGGGUAAUGCUUCAGUACUAAAGCCUUCGGGCGCUUGGGGAGGAGCUUGGGUCCGAUUAGCUAGUUGGUAGGGUAAUGGUUUACCAAGGCAAUGAUCGGUAGCUGGUCUGAGAGGAUGGUCAGCCACACUGGGACUGAGAUACGGCCCAGACUCCUACGGGAGGCAGCAGCAAGGAAUUUUGUGCAAUGGGCGAAAGCCUGACACAGCGACGCCGCGUGGGGGAUGAAGGCUUUCGAGUUGUAAACCCCUUUUCUCAGGGAGGAAUAAUGACAGUACCUGAGGAAUAAGCCAUGGCUAACUACGUGCCAGCAGCCGCGGUAAUACGUAGGUGGCAAGCGUUAUCCGGAUUUACUGGGCGUAAAGAGGGCGCAGGUGGCUUUUCAAGUCGGAUGUAAAAUCUCCCAGCUUAACUGGGAGGGAUCAUUCGAUACUGUUAAGCUAGAGGACAACAGGGGGAGGUAGAAUUCCCGGUGUAGUGGUGAAAUGCGUAGAUAUCGGGAGGAAUACCAGUGGCG
RNAcentral lists this ribosomal RNA (663 nucleotides) under uncultured bacterium. RNAcentral describes it as "bacterial SSU rRNA". It matches the Rfam family "Bacterial small subunit ribosomal RNA", at positions 38 to 717 of the family's 1533-position model. The record is from RNAcentral.